This 31-nucleotide non-coding RNA is filed under the name Mus musculus (house mouse). Lineage: Eukaryota; Metazoa; Chordata; Mammalia; Rodentia; Muridae. The record is from RNAcentral.
UGUGUCUAUUACACUGGCCUAUAAUCGUGUU